Molecule: long non-coding RNA, 2088 nt
Filed under: Mus musculus (house mouse)
Lineage: Eukaryota; Metazoa; Chordata; Mammalia; Rodentia; Muridae
Description: long non-coding RNA chr4:41383360-41385448
Source: RNAcentral
GUAAUCCAUACCUUCUUUUCCCCAGUUGCUGGACUGUAGGUAUCCAUACCAUUGUGUCUGGUUUUUCAAUAAUCUGCUGGGAUUUAUCCCUGUCAUCUCACACAGCUGAAUGUAUGUGUUUGAGGCAGGGUCUCAUUGUGUAGCUUGUCUGUUCACUAUGUAGCCAAGGCUAUCCUUUAUCUUUGUGUACAUAUGCUCACAUGGAGGACGGACGUAUCUUCUGUAGUCACUUUGUACAUUGCUGAAGGUUUUUGAUGAGGAUAGGCACUGGGAUUACAGCCGUGCGCCUCCAUGUAUGCUAGGGAUUUAAGUCAGCUCCGCAUCGUGUGUUGAAAGCCUUUACCAAUAGAGUCGCUUCUCCAGCCCUGUCCUUGAUGUGCUUCAGCCUUUUGAAUGCUGGGAUUGCAGAUGUGCAGAAAAGGAGCUUGCUCCUUUUCUAAUUUUGUUUCCCUGUUUCUUUUAAAACCAUUGCUGAAAUUUCUGUAGUUUUCUGCUUUUGUUUUUGGCAAAGUCUUAUUGACCCAGGCUGGCCUCGAACUUGAUCCAUUGCUUCUGCAUCCUGAGUGCUAGGAUUACAGAUCUGCUUAGGAUCCAGCCCAGGGUUCUCUGCAUGCUAAGUACUUUGUCAACUUAGCCACAACCGUGUAUAUUUUUUUACAUUUUUAUACAUUAAAACUUUUUUUUAAUCACAUUUGUUUUGUGUGUAUGCGGCCAUAGCACACGGGCCAGAAGACAACUUGUGGGAGCUGGUUUUGUUCUUCUACAAUAUGGUUUCUAGGGUUCAAAAAGUGGUCAGGUUUUGUGGCAAGUACCUUAACCUGAGCCAUCUCUGGGCCCUUCUUCUUUUUAAAAGAUUGCUUUAUUUUUAUGAGUGUUUGCCUGCAUGUAUAUAUAUGUGCACAUGUAUAUAUGCCUGGUGCCUGAGGAAGUCAGGAACUAGAGUUACAGUUGUGAGCUGCCAUGUGGUGCUGUGAAGGAAACCUGACUCCUUGGCAAGAGCAUAGGUACUCUUAACUGCAGUGCCAUCUCCGGCCUCUCUAAAGAAACCCCAGUGAUUCCAGCAUUGCAGAGGCAUUCUUAGGCUGCCUCUGUCCACCUCCACUUCCACCUAUGGAAGCUUUUCAAGUCCUCUACUCUCAAUCUCUGGAAAGUUUGAAAUUUACUAGUGAUAUGUCUUACUUAGUUAUUGUGUUGAGCACCCUGGGUCUUUACAAACUGGGGCUUAACCCAAUACCCAUUUUAUGUUUGCCAAUAACUACAUUUUAUCUUUUUAUUGACAAGACUCCUAAUAAGGUAGCACUGUCAGAAUGCAGUAAUGGUGUUGUAUCUGGGUCUGAGGGGUGUACCAACCUCGCCCCCUCACAUUAAUCAUAAUCAUGGAUUAUAACCUCGAUAAAUGACUUGAAACACCGUAGUACUAGUAAUUUUGACAAGGAAUCCUUUUUCAUUUUUUGGAGUUAGUCUUGCUGUAUAACCCAGGCUGUCCUUAACUUGAGGACCUUCCUUCUCCUUUUUUUUUUUUUAAAGAUAUAUUUCAUGUAUGUGGAUACACUGUCACUGUCUUCAGACACACCAGAAGAGGGCACUGGAUGGACAUUACAGAUGGUUGUGAGGCACCAUGUGGUUGCUGGGAAUUGAACUCAGGACCUCUGGAAGAACAGUCAGUGUUCUUAACCACUGAGCCAUCUCUCCAGCCCAACCUUCCUCCUUCUUAAGCCCUAGUGAUAAGGGAUCCUUUUAAACAUUGUCCUUUUGGGAUCUCCAUAAUUAGUGUGGUGCCUGUUUGAUUAAUAAAACAUGUCGAAGAGUCAUUUAUCUCUAUUAAGCAAAGUAUUUUCAGUUGUAAUAUUUAAAAAGGAAAGGAUACUUUGCUCAGUCCUAGUAUUUAAAAUCCUAUGCAUUGAGCUGAAGCGAUGGCUCAGUGGUUAAAAGAACUUACAAAGGACCCAGAUUUGGUUGCCAGCACCUAUAUUGUGGCUAAUAACCACAUGUAAUUCCAGUUCUAAAUUUCAUGACCUCUUCUGAGCUCUACAGUCAUCAGGCAUGCGUGUGGUGUAUACAUAUAUAUAGAUAUGGGCUAACAUAUAC